CCGGCGCACGGGUGAGUAACACGUAUCCAACCUGCCGUCUACUCUUGGCCAGCCUUCUGAAAGGAAGAUUAAUCCAGGAUGGGAUCAUGAGUUCACAUGUCCGCAUGAUUAAAGGUAUUUUCCGGUAGACGAUGGGGAUGCGUUCCAUUAGAUAGUAGGCGGGGUAACGGCCCACCUAGUCUUCGAUGGAUAGGGGUUCUGAGAGGAAGGUCCCCCACAUUGGAACUGAGACACGGUCCAA
RNAcentral lists this ribosomal RNA (241 nucleotides) under uncultured bacterium. RNAcentral describes it as "partial 16S ribosomal RNA". It matches the Rfam family "Bacterial small subunit ribosomal RNA", at positions 95 to 334 of the family's 1533-position model. The record is from RNAcentral.